Molecule: RNA transcript, 1039 nt
Organism: Daucus carota subsp. sativus
Lineage: Eukaryota; Viridiplantae; Streptophyta; Magnoliopsida; Apiales; Apiaceae
Exons: 3
Source: RefSeq, a predicted model, not a curated record
CGCCUAAAAUAAAAAGUAAAACGACAUCGAUAAUAGCCCUUCAGAUUUCUUCUACUAUCAAUCUAUCGCACUCUAAUGGGCGACCGCGACGCCUAUCGUGACCGCGAGAGAGAUCGAGAUCGAGAUCGAGAGAGAGACACCAGAAAACGCGACCGUGACCGUGAGCGCGACCGAGACCGUAGCAAACGCUCGCACACGCCGGACCGGGCCAGAUCGCGCCACGCCCGGUCGAGAACUCGCUCGCCGGACCGGUGGCGAAGCCGCUCCCGCUCUCCCGACCGGCACAGGUCUCGCCGCCAUCGCUCUCCCUCCCCGGACCACUCACGGAAGCGACAGAAGCGCGGAGAGAGCAGUGAGAGAGACCGCCGGAGAGACUCAUCCUCCGCCGCCGCCGCCGUGUCGGAGUUUGUGGACGGGAUAGUAAAGGAGAAGAAGGAGAAGAAGGGAGAGAGUGUGGAACCGGAGAUGGAUAAGGAUGAAGCUGAGAUGAUGAAGAUGAUGGGGAUACCGGUAGGUUUCGAUUCGACGAAAGGGAAGCAUGUGGAUGGCAAUGAUGUUAGCGGUAUUAGAGCUGUUACGAAGCGGAUGCCGAGACAGUAUAUGAAUCGUCGUGGCGGGUUUAAUCGUCCCUUGCCUGCUGAAAGGAAUCGUUGAGUUUUACUUAGGCCUAAGGUUCCUACUUAUUGAAGGUGGAUAGUUCCACUGUUACUCAAAUGCUGAUGCAGUGAAUGUGUUUGAACUUAUAAAUUUAUUAGGAGUAAUCUGAAAGAGGGGAGCUGGGGGGUUGGGGGUGCUGUAGAUAAGAUGGAACAUGGAAUCAGGCUAAUGAAUCAAAUCAAUUAGGGAAUGAGCAGCGGCUUGGUAUUGGCGGAAGUGAAUUUUGUAAAACACCUUUUGUAUUCUUUGAAUAGAUGUAUUGUACCUGAAUCGGUUAUUACUGCUAGUCAAGAUAGUAGUCAGCUUCGCCAGUCUGUUGUAACAUACAAAAUCGGUCUUCACAUUGUAUUUCAUGAAUUACUCAGUAAGCCCUUCUCAACAA